CAUUUAUUGUAGAAUCCCAUGAGAAGGGAACAGUCCAGGUGUGAGCAAAAAAGGGAAGUGAAAGUACUCACAGCCAGAAAGCUGAAGAGUCAGCGAAUACAUACAACUUUUAUAGAUUUUGUUACAAGAGAUUAUAUCACAAGUUAGAGAGCACUGACAGAUAUGGGGCCAUCUAAUUGGUUGUGGCUACUUGAAAGGAUUGGAAGAGAAGGUUUCAGUUUCCCCAAAAUCCUCUGAUUUCCAGGAAAAUGCAACUCAGGCCUUCAGGCUUUAGAUAAUCACUCCGACAGUGGUCAAGCUAAUAGACUAAAUAUUGAUAAAUGCCAAAUCCUGAUAAACAUCACUAAUGUUAAGUAAAUAUGUCUGCAUAUAUUAUACGUAUGCAGGAUACAAGGAAAUAACAAAAAGGGGAAUUCAUACAAUAUUUAUCUUGUAAGUGCUUCAUCUUUCCAUAUCAAUUCUAAUGUGUUUAGAUUUAUUGACUGGAAAACUGCCUGUUUAUAUCCUUUAACUAUUUAUCAGUUGGGGAAUGACACAGUUGGGGAUUUGACAGAUUACUACAGCUAGAUUACUAUUUGAAUUUCCCUCCACUGUCGUGACUGUUGUAAAGAAGGAGUUAACCAAGGGGCUGCUCUGAAGAGUCAACUGAGGAUAAGAAGUAAACAAGUCCGGAACAGAAUGACAAGCACUAACAGCUAUGUCCGGGAAGAAGUACUUAGAAGCAUUUAUUCCACACCACUCUGUUCUUGACAUUUAAAAACUGCUGAGUUGUGCCCUAAUGUAAACCAUCUUUGUCUUAAUACCAUUAUAUAACCACUUUAAUGAGCCUUAAGUGUAUUUACUUGGAGCUAACGAACUAUGAUAUCAUUGCAUAAGAAACUGUAUAAAACGAGUAGCCAUGGUACAAUUAAACGAGCUUCUCAUAUCACUUUUGAUGUGUAGUUGUCUCCCUGCGGCAAAUGGUGACCCCGACGUGAUUUCAAUACCGCAGCUGCAUCCCGCAGGAGCUGAAGGAGCUCUGACCAAAGACAGGUCGGCGUCCCAUCACAGAGGACGGACCCGUGGCCAUGGCUGACCGGUCACCGAAAUCGAUGGGUACCAGCAAAAUGGGUGCAUCCACAAUUAUCAUCCUCUGCUUCUUGAUCAACGCCUCUCACACCGUGAUGACACAACUCCAACUGACUGCAACAACAGGAAACAUUUGGAUUAGGAUUGCUAAUGCUACUAAGCAAGACCAUUUGUGUUUAUCCCUUGAUAAUGUAGAUGAUCCAUUUAAGACUUGCUUUGUAGGAUCUCCUCUAGAAAUGCAUGAGUUGCUCAUAAGAUUUAAUACCACUAUGGAUGUGUACAACUUAAACUGUAACCAAACUGCUACUGCACCUUAUUGUCAUAUGUAUAAAAAUAAUACUUAUAGAUGGCCCUCAUAUAGACAUGCAUGCGCUUUAAAAAUCUUAUUGCACGCCCUGUUUGUAGUGGCUAGAAACUGGAAAAUGAAUGGAUGCCCAUCAAUUGGAGAAUGGCUGGGUAAAUUGUGGUAUAUGAAUGUUAUGGAAUAUUAUUGUUCUGUAAGAAAUGACCAGCAGGAGGAAUACAGAGAGGACUGGCGAGACUUACAUGAACUGAUGCUGAGGGAAAUGAGCAGAACCAGGAGAUCAUUAUACACUUCGACAACGAUAUUGUAUGAGGACAUAUUUUGAUGGAAGUAGAUUUCUUUGACAAAGAGACCUGAGUUUCAAUUGAUAAAUGACGGACAAAAGCAGCUACACCCAAAAAAACAACACUGGGAAACGAAUGUGAACUAUCUGCAUUUUUGUUUUUCUUCCCGGGUUAUUUAUACCUUCUGAAUCCAAUUCUCCCUAUGCAACAAGAGAACUGUUCGGUUCUGCAAACAUAUAUUGUAUCUAGGAUAUACUGCAACAUAUCCAACAUAUAAAGGACUGCUUGCCAUCUAGGGGAGGGGGUGGAGGGAGGGAGGGAGGGAAAAAAAAUCGGAACAGAAACGAGUGUCAAUAUAAAGUAAUUAUUAAAUAAAAAUAAAAAAAAAUUAAAAAAAAAAAAGAACCAAGUCAAAAAAAAAAAAUCUUAUUGCACUCACUUCAACAUCCUCCCCCUAAUUUCCCUCAAGCUGUCUCUCUGUUGUCUAGCCUUCCCCCCGGCGUUCUUGAAAAUGUAACACAUUUGUCUGACUGCUCAACAUUCAUUGAUCCGCAAUUAUACUCCUUCUAUGGGAUAGUUUAUUUUGAACCACCUAAUGACAAACAUCCCGGAACAGGCAGCUGAAAGCCCAGAACACAAUGGAAAACAUUUACUUCCCUCACUCAAUUGUCUCAUUGGGGACACCUUUAUAGUGGUGCACUUUCUCUUACACUAGAGGGCCCUUUAGCUUUGCCCCCAGGAACAUUCCUGAUCUGUGGGGAUACUGCUUGGACUGCCAUCCCUUAUAGACCUGUUGGGGGUCCUUGCUAUGUCGGUCAACUUUCAUUAUAUCAGGUAAAUAUGACCUUACAUCAAGAAGUAAGAACACGUGUUCGAAGAGAACUGCAUGAGCUACCCCCUGAUUGCAUAGACGAUGUAGAAUUCGUAUCUACAGGCACUGCGGUUUUUCUUUCCCUCCUUACUCCGCAAAGUAUGUCAGCACUAAAUUAUAAGGUUCUAAAGAAAUUGGCCUGUUGGGUUCGGAAUAAUUCUAACCUUACUUCCUCUAUACUUUCCGAUAUAACGCAACAACUUUCUACCUUUUCUCAUGCCACGUUACAAAAUAGAGCUGCUAUAGAUUUUCUCCUUCUUUUGCAUCAUCAUGAUUGUUCCGAAUUUCAAGGACUUUGUUGCUUUAACCUUACUGAUAACACUCCCUCUAUAAGACAAAAGAUAAACAAAAUUCGAGAGGAGCUCCAUAAAAUUAAGAUUUCGUCUAACACAUUAGAAGAUUGGUUCAGAUCCCUAAGUAUUCCUAACUUCCUCUUAUCCUUGAUAUCCCCUAUUCUGACCAUUAUCAUCUUAAUUGUUUUAUUUUGUUUGUGUGCACCCUACAACUGACAGAAACUUGUCUCCUUAGAAUGAUGUCUCGUUUCACAAAAAAAGGGGGAGAUGUUGUGGCUGUUGUAAAGAAGGAAUUAACCAAGGGGCUGCUCGGAAGAGUCAACUGAGGAUAAAAAGUAAACAAGUCCGGGAACAGAAUGACAAACACUAACAGCUAUGUCCGGGAAGAAGUACUUAGAAGCAUUUAUUCCGCACCACCCUGUUCUUGACAUUUAAAAACUGCUGAGUUGUGCCCUAAUGUAAACCAUCUUUGUCUUAAUACCAUUAUAUAACCACUUUAAUGAGCCUUAAGUGUAUUUACUUGGAGCUAACGAACUAUGAUAUCAUUGCAUAAGAAACUGUAUAAAAUGAGUAGCCAUUGUACAAUUAAACGAGCUUCUCAUAUCA
Long non-coding RNA from Antechinus flavipes (yellow-footed antechinus), 3426 nucleotides. RefSeq lists it as uncharacterized. Lineage: Eukaryota; Metazoa; Chordata; Mammalia; Dasyuromorphia; Dasyuridae. The record is from RefSeq and is a predicted model, not a curated record. The transcript is spliced from 2 exons.